GCCUCUUUCCAGUAUGAUGGUUAUGAUACUCGGUUCAUAAUCGAGUGCGUUCGGGUUCGAACCCCGAAUAAGGUA
This is a non-coding RNA of Trichonephila clavata, 75 nucleotides long. NCBI's taxonomy places the organism in Eukaryota, Metazoa, Arthropoda, Arachnida, Araneae, Nephilidae. The record is from the annotation of a GenBank genome assembly.